RNAcentral lists this long non-coding RNA (835 nucleotides) under Cricetulus griseus (Chinese hamster). RNAcentral describes it as "lncRNA (ENSCGRG00015040847.1)". The record is from RNAcentral. Lineage: Eukaryota; Metazoa; Chordata; Mammalia; Rodentia; Cricetidae.
CUCGAUCCUGGCAAGGCGGGGCUCGGUGUGGCUUCCUCGAAGCUGGCACUCCCGGUGUGGGCACCGCCUUCGGGUCCUUUCCUCCCAGUCACCGAUUCUCAGGCCCGGCUGUCUCUGCUCAUUCUUUAUCUCCCGGGACAAUUCGACACUGGAACGGAUUCGGGGACAGGUUUAAAGAGGGAAAAGAAAUUCUUACAGAUUGAGGUUAUUGCAGUUGUCAUUUAGGGGCAGGUGUGGAAUGAGAACAAACUACUAAAUAUGUGGGAUAACAGCAAAAAAUAAGACGGCACAAUAAAAUUUGUGGUUCUCAGUUUUGUCGAGGAAUUCUGGAUGUAGGACUUCCAGCUAUUACUUCAGCACCACAUCUGCCUGCACAAAGGUUGUGUUCUCCACCCUGAUAAUGGACUGACCCUCUGAAACUAUUGGUGAAUACCCCAAUUAUCAUCAGAGAACCUUCAUCCAGUAGCUGAUGGAACCAGAUGCAGAGAUCCACAACCAAGAACCAGGCUGAGCUCUGGGAAUCCAGUCGAAGAGAGGUAAGAGAAUAUAUUAGCAAGGGAGAUCAAGACCAUGAUGGAGAAAUCUACAGAGACAGCUGAACCAAGCUUGUAGAACUCAUGAACUCUAGACCUACAACUGUGGAGCCUCCAUGGGACCGAACAUGUGGGAGACAGUUAUGUAGCUGUGUCUAUCUGAGGGGGCCCUGGCAGUGGGACCAGGGUUUAUCCCUGUGCAUGAGCUAGCGUUUUGGAGCCCAUUCCCUUUUGGUGGAUACUAUGCUCAGACUUAAUGCAGCAGGGAGGGACUUGGUCCUGCCCCAGCGUAAUGCGCCAAG